GCCACCUUAGCUCAGUUGGUUAGAGCAACGGUUUUGUAAACCGUAGGUCCUCGGUUCGAAUCCGAGAGGUGGCUCAA
Molecule: transfer RNA, 77 nt
Filed under: bacterium
Lineage: Bacteria
Description: tRNA-Thr
Rfam family: tRNA
About the family: Transfer RNA (tRNA) molecules are approximately 80 nucleotides in length.
Source: RNAcentral